CCCCAGCCGUUGAUCAAAAUCCUGAUCUAACGGUUGGGGACUUGAAAGGCAAUACCGGCGACAAAAGUAGGUUAUUAGCGGCGACAGCUGUCUCCGCUAAAAGUCUGUGUCCCACAUUAAACCCUAGCCACACAAAUCUUAUCCUGAUUAACCCAAUAGCGGCGACGACAGGAUCAAUACCGGCGACAUAGCGUCUCCGCUAAAAGUCGAAACGUAAAAACACUUUAUCAGCGACUUUCCCUCUUUCUUCUUCACUUUCCCCCCAAAUUUCUUCCUUCCACCGCCGGUUCUUCCCGAAUUUUGGCCCACUCGAAACUCCGGUCACCGCCAUCUCUUCUCCGGUCACCACCAUCUCUUCUCCGGUCACCACCUCAAAAACCGUUGCAUAAUGCCUAUCGAUAAAAGUUGGAUUGAUUCCCCACGUCAUUCACCUCAAUACAAGCAAGGACUCGAGUCAUUUAUCGAGAUGUGUGAAAGAGUGAUAAAAAACCACGAUGAAGUUAGAUGUCCGUGUACCCAAUGUAAAAAUUCCGGCUUAAUAACUAUGGCAGAAAUGAAAUACCAUUUGCGUAUUAACAAAUUUUGGAAGGAAUACACUUCGUGGACCUAUCACAGGGACACGACUCCAAUUGCACAAGUAAACGAUGUUGCGCCACAAGACGGUAUGGUAAACGUUAUUGAAGACAUUAGGGGGGAGCGUAUGGAAGAAGAUACAUACCUUAACCAAGAGAACUCGAAUGGAGAUAG
Molecule: long non-coding RNA, 747 nt
Organism: Helianthus annuus (common sunflower)
Lineage: Eukaryota; Viridiplantae; Streptophyta; Magnoliopsida; Asterales; Asteraceae
Exons: 3
Source: RefSeq, a predicted model, not a curated record